Non-coding RNA from Camellia sinensis, 1667 nucleotides. The record is from RefSeq and is a predicted model, not a curated record. NCBI's taxonomy places the organism in Eukaryota, Viridiplantae, Streptophyta, Magnoliopsida, Ericales, Theaceae.
AACAGGUAACAAAUGACUGGCUGACGAGGCAGUCAUAAUCUUCACUUCGCUCGGGGAGAGAGAGAGGGAGAGAUAGACCUUCAAAGCACUUCCAAUAUGGAACUCUGUGGUGCUACCUCUUUCGCUUGGACUAACUCUAUCACUACCUCUCUUCACAUUACUCAGCCCUUCUCAAUUUAUGGGGCUAAGAGAUUUAGGAUUUGGUGCGUCACCAACGACGCUGGCUCUGCUCAAUCCAACGAGGUUGAUUCAUAUAUUCAACACUCCUCCUUAAGUUGGCGUGAAGAUAUUCAAUAAAUGCAGCUUGUUAAUGGAAGACUAGAACAAAGUUGGUCUUACAGAUUUUGUGAACAUAUCUACCAACUGCUGAGAAGAAGAGACAAAGGAUGGACGUAUAAUGUCAAUCCGAACCUUUUCUUGAAUGAAAUGUAUGUCAACUUCGAUAUGCUUGGUACACUCAUAAAGCACAAAAUCAUAGGAUAAUAUAAUGGCAGAUUUGUUAUCACAAAAUAAAGAGGAAGAAACAGUCUCCUUAAAACCCAACUCUGCCAGAAUAGAGCGAAUCCAAAGAAUCUUAUAUGUUCAAUGUGCCAUAGUUCGAUACUCAGUCUGCAGAAGACCCAGAAACAACUGCAUGCUUUUUACUUUUCCAUGAGAUAAGAUGAUCGCCAUAGAAAGUGCAAAAGGCAGAAGUGGAACGCUCAGUCCUAGAUCCUGCAUAGUCGACAUUAGUGAAACAGGAGAGCCCAGAUUGGAGACCAACGGUAAAGAACAACCCCAAGCCAGAAAAAAUCUUCAAAUACCUCAAAAUAUGAUGAACCACGUCAAGGUGCUCUUUAUGAGGUACAUGCAUGAACUGACUCACAACACUAAUCACAAAUGUCAAGUCAGGUCUAGUGUUGAUCAAAGAGGCGUCCAACGAGACGCUGAUACAUGCCUGGGUCAUCUAGCAACUUACCAAACUCUGAUGUGAGUUUGACAUUAGGAUUCAUAAGAGUAGAAGCAAGUUUACACCCUAACAUACUAGUAUCCUGAAGCAAGUCAAGGGUGUAUUUUCUUUGAGACAAUGAGAUCCCCUCCCUGGAGCGAGCCACUUCAAUUCUUAGAAAAUAUUUGAGACAUCCUAGAUCCUUUUUAUCAAAAUUUUGGCCCAAGUCCUUCUUUACUUGACCAAUGUCGACGGAGUCAUCACUUGUGAAAAUAAUAUCAUCCACACAAACCAACAAGAUUAUAUACUGACUUGCAGAAUUCCGACGAAUGAAACAAGUGUGAUCGGAGUGUCACUGAACAAAGCCCAUAGAUAUAAUAACAGAACUGAAGCGACUAAAUCACGCUCAUGGAGACUAUUUCAGACCAUACAAGGAUUUGUGUAACCGGUACACUUUUUCUGAAUACUCCCCUUCAACCUGAAAAUCAGGUGGAGGAGCCAUGUCAAUCGUCUCAAGAAGAUCCCCAUGGAGAAAUACAUUAUUGACAUCAAACUGAUGAAGAGGCCAAGAAUGAGAUACUACAAGGGAGAUAUAGAGACGUACAAAAGUAAGCUUGGUGACAGGGGCAAAAGUGGCACUAAAAUCCUUUCCAGGAAUUUGUGUGAAACCUUUGGCCACUAAGCGAGCUUUGUAAUGGUCAACUGAGCCAUUAGCGAGGUACUUUAUGGUGAACACCCA